This is a long non-coding RNA of Cygnus olor (mute swan), 601 nucleotides long. RefSeq lists it as uncharacterized. NCBI's taxonomy places the organism in Eukaryota, Metazoa, Chordata, Aves, Anseriformes, Anatidae. The record is from RefSeq and is a predicted model, not a curated record. The transcript has 3 exons.
AUCAUAGUAGUGCCAAUAAUGGAAUGAAGCAGAAUGUGACAACCAUUUAGUGUGUUGGUAUCAUGACGCUGUAUGUAAAUCAGGCAUCUUUCAGGAACCUUCCACCUUUUGUACCAUGGAGAGUGCUGUAAGCAUAAGCUGAAAAGCCCACUUCACUACUUCCACUCUACUGAGAAAUGCUGAGCUGAGAGCUGGAAGGAUUUUUGGUUGUUUUCCUGACGUUAGGCUGAGUAGAAGGCAGGGGAAAUACUGACUACACUAAUGGAAGAAUUUCAUGUGAUGGAAAAUCAGCUCCAUCUCUCAUUUUCCAAUGGUUAGUUACAUUCACUGUUCAAACCAUGUGCCUGACUGUGGCUGAAAAGAUCAUACAUACUUGGAGAACACAGACUGUAUAGUUUAAAUUCAGCCAACUGACCGUCAGCUGAUCCUUAAUGGAAAGAUCAAAGGAAAUUAGUAUUCUGCAUUACAGAUUACCAGUUCUAUGAGAAACCUCUUUUGGCCCCUCUACUUUCCCUCCCUGUCUGUACUAUUAUUAUAGGGGAGGUAUCACACAGUUCUAGUUUGGCACUGUUUAGUCAGUGUCUGAAUAAAAAUUAGUCGG